CAAUAGCGUAUAUUAAAGUUGUUGCAGUUAAAAAGCUCGUAGUUGAAUUUUUGCUUGCCGCCGAUGUCGGAACUUCCGUACGUUCGGCGGCGUGCAUCCUUGGGUGGAACCUGUGUGGCAUUAGGUUGUCGUGCAGGGGAUGCUCAUCGUUUACUGUGAAAAAAUUAGAGUGUUCAAAGCAGGCUUACGCCGUUGAAUAUAUUAGCAUGGAAUAAUAAGAUAGGACCUUGGUACUAUUUUGUUGGUUUGCGCACCGAGGUAAUGAUUAACAGGGACAGUUGGGGGUAUUCGUAUUCCAUUGUCAGAGGUGGAAUUCUUGGAUUUCUGGAAGACGAACUACUGCGAAAGCAUUUACCAAGGAUGUUUUCAUUAA
RNAcentral lists this ribosomal RNA (373 nucleotides) under uncultured eukaryote. RNAcentral describes it as "partial 18S ribosomal RNA". It matches the Rfam family "Eukaryotic small subunit ribosomal RNA", at positions 592 to 976 of the family's 1831-position model. The record is from RNAcentral.